This 583-nucleotide ribosomal RNA is filed under the name Moenkhausia lata. RNAcentral describes it as "partial 16S ribosomal RNA". It matches the Rfam family "Bacterial large subunit ribosomal RNA", at positions 1810 to 2607 of the family's 2925-position model. Lineage: Eukaryota; Metazoa; Chordata; Actinopteri; Characiformes; Acestrorhamphidae. The record is from RNAcentral.
AAAACAUCGCCUCCUGCACAACAAUAUAUAGGAGGUCCUACCUGCCCGGUGACUAAGUUAAACGGCCGCGGUAUUUUGACCGUGCAAAGGUAGCGCAAUCACUUGUUUUUUAAAUGAAGACCUGUAUGAAUGGUGAAACGAGGACUUAACUGUCUCCCCCCUCUAAUCAGUGAAAUUGAUUUACCCGUGCAGAAGCGGGUAUGAAAAUACAAGACGAGAAGACCCUAUGGAGCUUAAGAUAUAUGUCACCUGUGUAAAACCCCCUAAUAAAAAGAACAAAACAAAACAACAACUGACUAGUAUCUUCGGUUGGGGCGACCACGGGAGAAAAAAAAUCCCCCGCGUGGAAUGAGACAUCCCUUAAAGCCACGAGGUACACCUCUAAGUCACAGAACUUCUGACCAAAAGAUCCGGCAUUCAGCCGAUCAACGGACCAAGUUACCCUAGGGAUAACAGCGCAAUCCUCUUCAAGAGUUCCUAUCGACAAGGGGGUUUACGACCUCGAUGUUGGACCAGGACAUCCUAAUGGUGCAGCCGCUAUUAAGGGUUCGUUUGUUCUACGAUUAAAGUCCUACGUGAUCUG